GAUAAAAAAAGAUUAAUUUGGAAAAAGAUUAUUAUUUACAAGUAAUAAGAUUUUUUUUAAUAAAUUAGUUUAAAAAGAAAGUCUUUUUUUUUAGUUUUUAAUAGUUUGAUAAUUUAAAUAAUCAAACAACAAAACAAAUAUGUAUAUAAACACAUAAAUAUUUACACAUGUAAUAAAAUAAAUAAAUAAAUAUAUAAAUAAAAUGUUCAAUAUUAUUUACAAAUAGUGGUUGAAAUGAAUAACAUAAAAUAAAAUAUAAAAUAACAAAAGAAAAAAUGAAAACAAAUUAAACAAAAGAAACAAGUAAACAUGGGCUAAAAAACCCAAAUAAAGGGGUGUGCAUAUCAUAGACGUGGGGUAAGGCCCAAAAGUGGUCCAAAUAAAGGGGUGUGCAUAGCAUAGACGUGGGAUAAGACCCAAAACUGGUCCAAAUAAAGGGGUGUGCAUAUCAUAGACGUGGGGUAAGACCCAAAAGAUCAGGACUCAUCCAUAUGGCAUAUUGUGGACGGUUGAAAGAUCAGUUAUUAACAUGUGAAUGGGAGAAAGGGAUUCAUUUCUCACUUAUUUUUAUCUCUCUUCAAUUCGUACCUCUCUCACACUCUCUGAAUAAAAACACAAACACACAUGAACAAUGGGUGGUGGAGGAUCCGAGCCGGUCGAACCUAUGAAGGUAUGUGACAAUGCAUAUGAAUGUGCAUGGUGGUGUAACAGCUGGAAUUCAUAUUGAACCUCCUCCUAGGGGUUCUCAACCUUAUAAACUCAAAUUCGAACUCCAAAUCCCCAGAAACCUCAUAUAAACCCCUCAAUUGAAAUCACAGUAACAAACCCUAAUUUCCAAACUAAAAAAACCCAAUAAACACGAACACAAUGAAAUCAACAAAGAAGAAAAGCCUAAAUGCGACAAGCAACAUAGUUAAUCAUGGAAAAUGCAAAAGGGAGAUAAGGAAGUUACCCGACCGGACAUUACCGGUGAAAAGACUUCAUCGGAGUAAUUUCCUUUCUCUUUUUGUUUCUUCUUUCUAAAACUCUCAUCUACUCCUUCUUUUUCGAUUAUGGCUUUGCUUGAUGUGCUGGUUUUGUUGUAUUUGUGUUGUUGUUAUUAGCCUUGUCUAAAUCUUAAGCUCAAUUUGAUCAAGAGUUUCAAAUGUGAAGCUCUGAACAACCAGAAUGAAGGAGCUCUAUUGAUUUUGGUUUUAGGGAUUUUGUGAAUGUAGUCUGAGUUUUUUUGAUAGCUCUAAGAUUUAGGGUUUUCCAAUUUUGCGUUCUUGCCUCUCAAUAGGUUUUCUCUCUGUGUAUCUUUGUCGCGCCGCGAAAAAUACAUAGUCG
RNAcentral lists this long non-coding RNA (1326 nucleotides) under Lathyrus oleraceus (garden pea). RNAcentral's name for it is "Pisum sativum (pea) long non-coding RNA (PSAT_LNC036464)". The record is from RNAcentral. Lineage: Eukaryota; Viridiplantae; Streptophyta; Magnoliopsida; Fabales; Fabaceae.